Molecule: ribosomal RNA, 267 nt
Filed under: uncultured bacterium
Lineage: Bacteria
Description: partial 16S ribosomal RNA
Rfam family: Bacterial small subunit ribosomal RNA
Source: RNAcentral
UAUACUUAGUGGCGGACGGGUGAGUAACGCGUGGGCAACCUGCCCCGUGCCGGGGGAUACCGCCUGGAAACAGGCGCUAAUACCGCAUAAGCGCAUACAGCCGCAUGGCAGUAUGCGGAAAGCUCCGGCGGCACGGGAUGGGCCCGCGCCCGAUUAGCCAGUUGGCGGGGUAACGGCCCACCAAAGCGACGAUCGGUAGCCGGCCUGAGAGGGCGGACGGCCACAUUGGGACUGAGACACGGCCCAAACUCCUACGGGAGGCAGCAG